Molecule: ribosomal RNA, 1304 nt
Filed under: Salmonella enterica
Lineage: Bacteria; Pseudomonadati; Pseudomonadota; Gammaproteobacteria; Enterobacterales; Enterobacteriaceae
Description: partial 23S ribosomal RNA
Rfam family: Bacterial large subunit ribosomal RNA
Source: RNAcentral
GUACGUACAAGCAGUGGGAGCACAGGUUUACCUGUGUGACUGCGUACCUUUUGUAUAAUGGGUCAGCGACUUAUAUUCUGUAGCAAGGUUAACCGUAUAGGGGAGCCGGAGGGAAACCGAGUCUUAAUUGGGCGUUAAGUUGCAGGGUAUAGACCCGAAACCCGGUGAUCUAGCCAUGGGCAGGUUGAAGGUUGGGUAACACUAACUGGAGGACCGAACCGACUAAUGUUGAAAAAUUAGCGGAUGACCUGUGGCUGGGGGUGAAAGGCCAAUCAAACCGGGAGAUAGCUGGUUCUCCCCGAAAGCUAUUUAGGUAGCGCCUCGUGAAUUCAUCUCCGGGGGUAGAGCACUGUUUCGGCUAGGGGGCCAUCCCGGCUUACCAACCCGAUGCAAACUGCGAAUACCGGAGAAUGUUAUCACGGGAGACACACGGCGGGUGCUAACGUCCGUCGUGAAGAGGGAAACAACCCAGACCGCCAGCUAAGGUCCCAAAGUCAUGGUUAAGUGGGAAACGAUGUGGGAAGGCCCAGACAGCCAGGAUGUUGGCUUAGAAGCAGCCAUCAUUUAAAGAAAGCGUAAUAGCUCACUGGUCGAGUCGGCCUGCGCGGAAGAUGUAACGGGGCUAAACCAUGCACCGAAGCUGCGGCAGCGAACGUAUCACCCAAGACAACUUUACGGAGUUGACGAUUGACGGAGCGAAGCGACGUCAAAGCGUUCAUUAAAGUCGAGUUGGCUUAGGGAUACGUUCGUUGGGUAGGGGAGCGUUCUGUAAGCCUGUGAAGGUGUGUCGUGAGGCAUGCUGGAGGUAUCAGAAGUGCGAAUGCUGACAUAAGUAACGAUAAAGCGGGUGAAAAGCCCGCUCGCCGGAAGACCAAGGGUUCCUGUCCAACGUUAAUCGGGGCAGGGUGAGUCGACCCCUAAGGCGAGGCCGAAAGGCGUAGUCGAUGGGAAACGGGUUAAUAUUCCCGUACUUGGUGUUACUGCGAAGGGGGGACGGAGAAGGCUAUGUUGGCCGGGCGACGGUUGUCCCGGUUUAAGCGUGUAGGUGUGUGUUCCAGGUAAAUCCGGUUCACUUUAACACUGAGGCGUGACGACGAGGCACUACGGUGCUGAAGCAACAAAUGCCCUGCUUCCAGGAAAAGCCUCUAAGCAUCAGGUAACAUCAAAUCGUACCCCAAACCGACACAGGUGGUCAGGUAGAGAAUACCAAGGCGCUUGAGAGAACUCGGGUGAAGGAACUAGGCAAAAUGGUGCCGUAACUUCGGGAGAAGGCACGCUGACACGUAGGUGAAGUGAUUUACUCA